GCGGCAGCCUUCAGAUGACAUGACAGCACUUUCUAACUGGAGCUUUCAUCACUGAAACUGAAGAGCAACCGAGGGUUCAAAUUCAGGAGGAGUCUCACAUCCUUGUACUUUCCCAGCCCAUCUGGAGAUGCCAGGGAUAGAACCUGGGACCUUCUGCAGGCAAAACAAGAUGCUUUCUCACUUAGCUACAGACCCAUCCAUUCUGGAGUCCCAGGCGCCAGACCGUGAUGUCAGCGGUCUUCCUUCACUGGAACCACCCUUCCCAUUUCCUGGCUGAAGGAAAUGGGAAGCCAUGCUAGCCACCUGCCUGGCUUUCUCUCUGCCUGUCCUUACACAACUGCCAGGCUAGCAACAGUACAGCAGCCAGGAAACAAGGAAGGACAGCCCUGGAACCAGUCACCCCCUGCCCAUGGACUGGAGCUCAGCUUACUGACACCGUCCCUCUGCCCACUUUUACUAAUGUUUUAAAUAAUUAAUGUUUUAAUGUAAUAAUCAAUGUGCUGAAAAUGGACCUCGGCCCAGCACAGCAAGUCACAAUUGCUUCUGGUCCAGCUGCUUCUUCCAGUUGCUUCUGCUUCAGGGCAUUUCAGUUGUGCACCCCUGAUUUCGCCCCUCUCCUCCCAGAAACAUAACCUUUCUACCUGCUGCAUCUGAGGGAGGGGCAGUUCUAGGUCCCAGGGCCCUCGACAGGACUCCGCAGACCUGAUUGGAUUGCCUAGAAUUCAUGGUGGGGCUUACACUGGCAGAUGGGAUGGAGGAGAGGAGGCAAUAAUGGAGUGACUCUUGGUUCUCUGGAAGAGAACCAAAACUCAUGGGACUCUGGAAACCAAGUCCUAUGAGGCAUGGCUGAAGGAGCUGGGUAUGUUUAGCUUAGAGAAGAGAGGACUAAGGUAGAUGGAGUGGUAUAAUAUCUGUUUUCAAAUAUCCAAAAGGCUGGCACCUAGAAGUAGGAACAGACCUGUUCUCUGUUGCUCCUGAGGGCAGGACUAGGACUAAUGGGCUGAAAUUACAAGGAACUGUAAGAGCUAUUUGACGGUGGAACACCUGCCUCAUGCAGUGGUGGGCUUUCUGUUGCCUGAGGUUUCCAAACAGAGGCUGGACAGGCUUCUGUCAUGGAUGCUGUGGCAGUUUUCCGCACUGAGCAGGAAAUUGGACUAGGAGACCUCUAAGUCCCCUUCCAACUCUAAAAUUCUGUGAUUCUAUAGCCCUCUUCAGAUCUAAUGACCACCCUGGAUCCAACCAGGUUGAACCUGAAUCCAACCAGGUUUCAGCUCAUUGAUUCGACGUAAGUGAUCAUGCUUACGGUUCUGCCACCUUCAGAUGGAUUGCGCAUGAUCUUCAGUGUGAGGGAGGUGAUUGACAGCGGGGCGGCCAAACUUCCUUCUUGCUUUUUGCCCGCUGUAACAAUGAGCAUCUGGGGCACUCAUAAUGUCUGAAGAGGGUUUAUGCUUCUAUAGUUGAGGGAAUUCCUCCUCCUCCUCCUCCUCCUCCACCACCACCCAAAGUCUAUGGGAUAGAGAUGGUUUGGGGGCCUGGCUAUGCCCUUGCCAGCUGCCUGACAGUGCCAACCCUGACAUUCUCCCCGAGUAGAGGCAGAGGUGAGACUGUGAGGCCCCCAUUGGCCUGGCUGCCAUUUAACUCUUCCCCCACAACUGUCUUCUGGACUGUCUAUUUCACAGGGUCAUUAUGUAACCUACUUGUUUGCUCCCUAUACCCUUUCCUUUGCAUAUUGUAUCUACCUUGAAUGGUUAUUUUGGAUUACCUUGAGAGCACAGUUCUAUUCAUGUCUGCUUGGAAGUAAAUCCUAUCUACUACUACCACUACCACCACUACUACUACUAUGACGGCGAAUAUUUAUAUACCGCUCUUCAAGCAAAGUUCUCAAAGCGGUUUACAUAGAAAAAUAAAUAAUACUUAGUCCCCAAGGCAGACAACAGCAAUAGCCAAUGGAUGAGACUUACACCCAGGUAAGUGUGUCUAAAAUUGUAGCCUGGGUGGUUUAUAUACCAGCAGGAAGUCGGUAUAUGAAUGAAGCAAAUAGGUAAACCUGAAAAUGGUGAAAAACAUAUUGUACCAUUCUGCUGGGACUAUACAAAUUCAGUUGCCUAACAGUGAUUAAAUCUUCACUGCUUUCACCAUAAAAAAACCCAAGUAGUUCUGGUAAGAACUAGUCUGCCCAUUCAUUCAUUCAUUCAUUUAAUAGAUUUGUAUACUGCCCUGGCCAGAACCUCAGGGGUAUACUCAUGAGUCAAUGGGCCAUAACCCAAAAUUUGGCUUUAAAAAAGCCAAAUCUGACAACAGAGCACCCAAGUCUCUAGACAGUUUACAGCAUAAAACAAAACAAACCAAGAACUUAACAGUUACAAUAUAAAACCAGAUUAAAAUAUCCAUAAAAACACCAACUAACUAAAAUCUUGGCUGAAGAGAUACUGUAUGUGCUCAGUUUUUCCCUAAAAGUCAACAGGGAUAGAGCAGUUCUAAUCUCAGCAGGAAAUGCAUUCCACAGGGGUGUGCACAACACUGGAUGGUCUGGUUCAUUUCGAGUCCAAAUCAGACCUGAAUUGGAUGGUCCACAAGUUCGCCAACCCACUUGAGCCUCAACAUUCAUGUGUCUGCCAUCUUGAACUGGGGUAGAUGACAUCAUUACACACUACACCACUGAGGUGUCUCUAUGUGUAACUCAUUUUGACUGUACCAAAUUGGGUUCAAAUCAGGCAGUUCACAAGUUAGUCCACUUGAGCCUCAAACUAUCUUACUGCCAUCUUGAAUUGGGGUGGAUGACAUCACCACAGAUUAUGCCAUUGAGGUGUCCCUAUGUGUCCCUACAACUGUAUCCAGUUUGGUUCAUAUUGGUCCAGGCAUUGCAAAGUUGAUAGUGGGGGACACAC
This is a long non-coding RNA of Hemicordylus capensis (graceful crag lizard), 2888 nucleotides long. RefSeq lists it as uncharacterized. The transcript has 3 exons. NCBI's taxonomy places the organism in Eukaryota, Metazoa, Chordata, Lepidosauria, Squamata, Cordylidae. The record is from RefSeq and is a predicted model, not a curated record.